CCUACGUGAGGCAGCAGUGAGGAAUAUUGGUCAAUGGGCGCGAGCCUGAACCAGCCAAGUAGCGUGAAGGAUGACUGCCCUACGGGUUGUAAACUUCUUUUAUAAAGGAAUAAAGUGAGGCACGUGUGCCUUUUUGUAUGUACUUUAUGAAUAAGGCUCGGCUAACUCCGUGCCAGCAGCCGCGGUAAUACGGAGGAUCCGAGCGUUAUCCGGCUUUAUUGGGUUUAAAGGGAGCGUAGAUGGGUUGUUAAGUCAGUUGUGAAAGUUUGCGGCUCAACCGUAAAAUUGCAAGUGAUACUGGCAGUCUUGAGUACAGUUGAGGUAGGCGGAAUUCGUGGUGUAGCGGUGAAAUGCUUAGAUAUCACGAAGAACUCCGAUUGCGAAGGCAGCUUACUAAACUGCCACUGACAUUGAUGCUCGAAAGUGUGGGUAUCAAACAGGAUUAGAUACCCUUGUAGUC
This 460-nucleotide ribosomal RNA is filed under the name uncultured bacterium. RNAcentral describes it as "partial 16S ribosomal RNA". It matches the Rfam family "Bacterial small subunit ribosomal RNA", at positions 338 to 795 of the family's 1533-position model. The record is from RNAcentral.